ACCAAUCCUUUUUUUUUUUUUUUUUUUUUCCCAGAUAGACACAUGCAUCUAUAAAUGGACUAACAGACUGAAUGAGGAGAAAUAUUUCGGGCAGUUUAAACCAUUUGGAUUCUUGGCAUUAACUUCAAAGAAAUCGAACAAACAAAUCCUAGAUCACAAGAAUCUCCAUCUUUCCUAGCUUUGGGAGCUCAAAGACUAGUCCUCAAAGCCGGGAUUUCUUAUGGUAUCUUCCAGAGGCUGUCAUCGCUUUGUUCAUUCCUCUCCAGAGGCCUCGGGCCUCUGGAACGUACCAGCACCUGUUGGGCCACCAAAGCCCACAAUGUAGCUGGUGGGAAAUCUGUAAAUACCUGCUUCUUUAACGCCGUAUAAAAAGCCCACAGCGUUUUAAUUCUGAGGUUGUUGAUUAUCGUGCAAGAAUCACGAAAGACAUUAAUGGAAACAGGUGCGUGUAUUUUGCUCAUAUCUAUUUGACAUGUAUGGAUAGCUG
Molecule: long non-coding RNA, 487 nt
Filed under: Mustela putorius furo (domestic ferret)
Lineage: Eukaryota; Metazoa; Chordata; Mammalia; Carnivora; Mustelidae
Description: lncRNA (ENSMPUG00000024424.1)
Source: RNAcentral